This 442-nucleotide ribosomal RNA is filed under the name Enterococcus durans. Its description in RNAcentral is "bacterial SSU rRNA". It matches the Rfam family "Bacterial small subunit ribosomal RNA", at positions 106 to 534 of the family's 1533-position model. The record is from RNAcentral. Lineage: Bacteria; Bacillati; Bacillota; Bacilli; Lactobacillales; Enterococcaceae.
GUGAGUAACACGUGGGUAACCUGCCCAUCAGAAGGGGAUAACACUUGGAAACAGGUGCUAAUACCGUAUAACAAUCGAAACCGCAUGGUUUUGAUUUGAAAGGCGCUUUCGGGUGUCGCUGAUGGAUGGACCCGCGGUGCAUUAGCUAGUUGGUGAGGUAACGGCUCACCAAGGCCACGAUGCAUAGCCGACCUGAGAGGGUGAUCGGCCACAUUGGGACUGAGACACGGCCCAAACUCCUACGGGAGGCAGCAGUAGGGAAUCUUCGGCAAUGGACGAAAGUCUGACCGAGCAACGCCGCGUGAGUGAAGAAGGUUUUCGGAUCGUAAAACUCUGUUGUUAGAGAAGAACAAGGAUGAGAGUAACUGUUCAUCCCUUGACGGUAUCUAACCAGAAAGCCACGGCUAACUACGUGCCAGCAGCCGCGGUAAUACGUAGGUGG